UACGGAGGAUGCGAGCGUUAUCCGGAUUUAUUGGGUUUAAAGGGUGCGCAGGCGGAUUUUUAAGUCAGCGGUCAAAUACGGGGGCUCAACCUGCGUCCGCCGUUGAAACUGGCGUUCUUGAGUGAGCGAGAAGUACGCGGAAUGCGCGGUGUAGCGGUGAAAUGCAUAGAUAUCGCGCAGAACUCCGAUUGCGAAGGCAGCGUACCGGCGCCAGACUGACGCUGAGGCACGAAAGCGUGGGGAUCGAACAGG
RNAcentral lists this ribosomal RNA (252 nucleotides) under uncultured Bacteroidales bacterium. Its description in RNAcentral is "partial 16S ribosomal RNA". It matches the Rfam family "Bacterial small subunit ribosomal RNA", at positions 524 to 776 of the family's 1533-position model. Lineage: Bacteria; Pseudomonadati; Bacteroidota; Bacteroidia; Bacteroidales. The record is from RNAcentral.